RNAcentral lists this small nuclear RNA (104 nucleotides) under Chinchilla lanigera (long-tailed chinchilla). Lineage: Eukaryota; Metazoa; Chordata; Mammalia; Rodentia; Chinchillidae. The record is from RNAcentral.
GUGCUUGCUUUGGCAGCAUAUAUACUAAAAUAGGAAUGAUAUAGAGAUUAGCAUGGCUCCUGUGCGAGGAUGACACGUAAAUUCAUGAAGCACUCCAUAUUUUU